Molecule: ribosomal RNA, 182 nt
Filed under: Staphylococcus aureus
Lineage: Bacteria; Bacillati; Bacillota; Bacilli; Caryophanales; Staphylococcaceae
Description: Small Subunit Ribosomal RNA
Rfam family: Bacterial small subunit ribosomal RNA
Source: RNAcentral
UUUUAUGGAGAGUUUGAUCCUGGCUCAGGAUGAACGCUGGCGGCGUGCCUAAUACAUGCAAGUCGAGCGAACGGACGAGAAGCUUGCUUCUCUGAUGUUAGCGGCGGACGGGUGAGUAACACGUGGAUAACCUACCUAUAAGACUGGGAUAACUUCGGGAAACCGGAGCUAAUACCGGAUAA